AUCCAAUAUGGCGGGUUCUUCUGAUGGAGCAGCUACACAAACAGGCGCAAUUAUUGAGCUCACUGAUGAGGAAAGAGCAGUUCUUAAAGAAUGUACAAGAAAUAGUAUUUUCUUCAGAGGUUUUCCAGCAGGUAUUAUUUCUGUAGUUUUGAUAAGCCAGGCAGUGAAAAGUGGUAAGUAAAUUCAAACCUUGCAUAAUGUUCCCACUGGACUCGACUACCACAUGCCACUUGCUAGUCUCCUUCACAGCUGUUGUUUGGGAUUGUCAGGCUAUGAGCUCCCUCGCCCAGCAAUGGCUGUUUAAACCCAAACUGCAGUCCUUUCCUUUUGUUUGGACUGCAACCACUAUGUUGCUUAUCUGCAAAAAUGUAGCAGUUGCUGGUAAGCCUUUUAAAUGCUUCAAGAUCACUUCAAACUUUGGACGCUUGUUAUUAUUCUUACAUAAUACUGUUUUUCCUUAAGCAUGUCUGACCUGGCAUGCUUUUUUUUUAGUUGGUGAAACGUUUUUCAUAGUUUGUUGCCUGGGGUGUACCAAGUACAAAAGAUAACAUCACUGACACUUGGGGUUGCGAUAUCACAAAACUUUUGAUUGGUGUAAUUGGCAAAUUUUGGUGUGGCUUACUGAGGAAUGUAUGAGUGAAGUUGUCACUGGGUAAAAUGCACAAAAGAAUGAGGUUUGGGUUUUAGUAGCCCAUGCAACCCCACUAUCAGCUCUGGCUGAUCAUUAAACAUUCUUUGUACAUUGGUUGUGACUCUGGUGGAAUUUAUCACAUUUAACUCUACAUAUAUCUCCAAGGGAAACUAGAUUUUGUCCAUUGG
Molecule: long non-coding RNA, 819 nt
Organism: Orbicella faveolata
Lineage: Eukaryota; Metazoa; Cnidaria; Anthozoa; Scleractinia; Merulinidae
Source: RefSeq, a predicted model, not a curated record